Long non-coding RNA from Hippocampus zosterae (dwarf seahorse), 338 nucleotides. RefSeq lists it as uncharacterized. The record is from RefSeq and is a predicted model, not a curated record. The transcript has 2 exons. Lineage: Eukaryota; Metazoa; Chordata; Actinopteri; Syngnathiformes; Syngnathidae.
AACACGUGAGAGGGGGCAGGGGGGUAUAUAAAUAUUUGUGAACGGUGGGGAGAAGCUUGUGGGCAGAUGGCUGGACAUACAGAAACCAUGUUUUAAAACAAAUUAAUUUCCUUACAUAAUAGCAGAUAGUAAGCAACUAAACCAUCAGAUAUACCACGCACGAGUCGCCAGCCUGCCAUAUCCCACUUAUAGACAAGGGUUCAAACUCACACCUAUGGACAAUUUAGGGUCUUUAAUUAACCUUAACAUGUACUGUAUGUUUUGGGAAACGGAAGCUUGAGAACAACCAUCAUCAAACCCAGAACUCCUUCUUGCGAGGCAAACAUGCUUAUCAACAA